This is a long non-coding RNA of Peromyscus maniculatus bairdii (prairie deer mouse), 261 nucleotides long. RefSeq lists it as uncharacterized. NCBI's taxonomy places the organism in Eukaryota, Metazoa, Chordata, Mammalia, Rodentia, Cricetidae. The record is from RefSeq and is a predicted model, not a curated record.
AAAACAAAUAUGUAUUGCUUAAGCCACCUUCUAAUUUGCCAUUCUGUCCCUGGGCAAUUAAGAUCCUAUUCCAAGCAGUUUAAUUCUUCUAGUGAAGUAGGUGAUUAAUUCGCUCAACUGAAGGAGCUCGGAGUGUAACACUUGAAGAUAUGAAAUGCGCUGAAGGUCUUAGGAAGAAACACAGUCAAUAAAAUGUAUCCCAGUACUUAAAAUUCAGGCAUAAUUAAAAGGAAUUAAAAUUAUAUUUCAUGUUUAAUUUAA